This 252-nucleotide ribosomal RNA is filed under the name uncultured Pseudomonas sp. Its description in RNAcentral is "partial 16S ribosomal RNA". It matches the Rfam family "Bacterial small subunit ribosomal RNA", at positions 100 to 354 of the family's 1533-position model. The record is from RNAcentral. Lineage: Bacteria; Pseudomonadati; Pseudomonadota; Gammaproteobacteria; Pseudomonadales; Pseudomonadaceae.
CGGGGUGAGUAAUGCCUAGGAAUCUGCCUGGUAGUGGGGGACAACGUUUCUAAAUGAACGCUAAUACCGCAUACGUCCUACGGGAGAAAGCAGGGGACCUUCGGGCCUUGCGCUAUCAGAUGAGCCUAGGUCGGAUUAGCUAGUUGGUGAGGUAAUGGCUCACCAAGGCGACGAUCCGUAACUGGUCUGAGAGGAUGAUCAGUCACACUGGAACUGAGACACGGUCCAGACUACCUACGGGAGGCAGCAGGC